GACGAACGCUGGCGGCGUGCCUAAUACAUGCAAGUUGAGCGAUGAAGAUUGGUGCUUGCACCAAUUUGAAGAGCAGCGAACGGGUGAGUAACGCGUGGGGAACCUCCCUUUGAGCGGGGGACAACUUUUGGAAACGAAUGCUAAUACCGCAUACCAACUUUAAACAUAAGUUUUAAGUUUGAAAGAUCCAAUUGCAUCACUCAAGGAGGAUCCCGCGUUGUAUUGGCUCGUUGGUGAGGUAAAGGCUCACCAAGGCGAGGAUACAUAGCCGACCUGAGAGGGUGCUCGGCCACAUUGGGACUGAGACACGCCCCAAACUCCUACGGGAGGCAGCAGUAGGGAAUCUUCGGCGAUGGACGAAAGUCUGACCGAGCAACGCCGCGUGAGUGAAGAAGGGUUUCGGAUCGUAAAACUCGGUUGGUAGAGAAGAGCGUUGGUGGGAGUGGAAAGCUCAUCAAGUGACGGUAACUACCCAGAAAGGGACGGCUAACUACGUG
Molecule: ribosomal RNA, 497 nt
Filed under: uncultured bacterium
Lineage: Bacteria
Description: partial 16S ribosomal RNA
Rfam family: Bacterial small subunit ribosomal RNA
Source: RNAcentral